GAUGAACGCUGGCGGCGUGCCUAAUACAUGCAAGUCGAGCGAACAGACGAGGAGCUUGCUCCUCUGACGUUAGCGGCGGACGGGUGAGUAACACGUGUAUAACCUACCUAUAAGACUGGGAUAACUUCGGGAAACCGGAUCUAAUACCGGAUAAUAUAUUGAACCGCAUGGUUCAAUAGUGAAAGACGGUUUUGCUGUCACUUAUAGAUGGAUCCGCGCCGCAUUAGCUAGUUGGUAAGGUAACGGCUUACCAAGGCGACGAUGCGUAGCCGACCUGAGAGGGUGAUCGGCCACACUGGAACUGAGACACGGUCCAGACUCCUACGGGAGGCAGCAGUAGGGAAUCUUCGGCAAUGGGCGAAAGCUUGACGGAGCAACGCCGCGUGAGUGAUGAAGGUCUUCGGAUCGUAAAACUCUGUUAUUAGGGAAGAACAAAUGUGUAAGUAACUAUGCACGUCUUGACGGUACCUAAUAAGAAAGCCACGGCUAACUACGUG
RNAcentral lists this ribosomal RNA (497 nucleotides) under uncultured bacterium. RNAcentral describes it as "partial 16S ribosomal RNA". It matches the Rfam family "Bacterial small subunit ribosomal RNA", at positions 28 to 507 of the family's 1533-position model. The record is from RNAcentral.